This 330-nucleotide unclassified non-coding RNA is filed under the name soil metagenome. RNAcentral's name for it is "partial contains 5.8S ribosomal RNA, internal transcribed spacer 2, and large subunit ribosomal RNA". The stretch from base 1 to 120 matches the Rfam family "5.8S ribosomal RNA", at positions 35 to 154 of the family's 154-position model. The record is from RNAcentral.
GAUGAAGAACGUAGCGAAAUGCGAUAAGUAAUGUGAAUUGCAGAAUUCAGUGAAUCAUCGAAUCUUUGAACGCACAUUGCGCCCCCUGGUAUUCCGGGGGGCAUGCCUGUCCGAGCGUCAUUACAACCCUCAAGCUCAGCUUGGUGUUGGGCCCCGCCGCCCCGGCGGGCCCUAAAGUCAGUGGCGGUGCCGUCCGGCUCCGAGCGUAGUAAUUCUUCUCGCUCUGGAGGUCCGGUCGUGUGCUCGCCAGCAACCCCCAAUUUUUUUCAGGUUGACCUCGGAUCAGGUAGGGAUACCCGCUGAACUUAAGCAUAUCAAUAAAGCGGAGGA